This 2052-nucleotide long non-coding RNA is filed under the name Jatropha curcas. RNAcentral describes it as "long non-coding RNA (JCUR_LNC003181)". Lineage: Eukaryota; Viridiplantae; Streptophyta; Magnoliopsida; Malpighiales; Euphorbiaceae. The record is from RNAcentral.
UGUUGCUGCCUUAAUGAAGCGAUGAGUCAACAGCUCGUUGUCUCUUGCUCAAACCUGUCUCUGGGUCAUAAAAUUCUUCAACUUCUGAAACAUUUUUGCUUGUAGACAAUAAAUGUUUGUUCCCUAUGAAUCAAUAAUUUGCAGAUCUUAUGAAUUUAUGUUACGAUGGUUUUCUUCCAUGGCAUUACAGAUUUACUUGACUGAAUCAUUUGCUUGUUUAUAAUACAAGCUAGUUUUCAGCAGGAAAAUUUGCAUAGAAAAAGGCUUUCCUCAAAUGAUUAUUUAAAUAGUUAUUCAGUUUUAAUGUGAUCACAUGCGAUAAUAAAGAAUGACUAAAAUACUAAAAACUUGGAAAUAGAAAUUGUAAAAUACAUACAAAAUCUAGUAAAUAUAUUACAUUACUUUUGAUAGUAAUAAUACACAAGCAAAUAUUCUUGUCUGCUAUUUUAACACUAGAACUCUAAUAUUUCUAGGUUUAAUGACAAAAUUAAUAAUACUAAUCAUCUAUCUUUAUAUAUAAGAAAAAGAGGAGGACCAGCACUUUCACAGAGAAAAAAAAUAAUAAAAAAAACAAGAUAAUUUAUGCAAUACUAUUUGAUAACUAAUGGCUUGGAGGGGUAAACCUAAAAAAAAUUACAGCGAAAGGGUAAAUAGUAAUACUGUUUGUUUAAACCCCUCAUCCAUCCCCAAUGUGUUUCCUCCCUGCACCUUUUCAUACUCAACUUUGAUUUAUUCUAUUGAAGUUAUUUACAAAAAUUAAAAUUUUAUUAAUGCACAAAUCAUUUUUCCAAUAGUAAAAAAGAAACUGCUUAUUCAAAUAGAUCAUGUCGAAUUCAUUACUAGAGAAAUUAACUUUUCUGAGAGAAAUGAAAGAAAAUUUGGCUAAUCAUAUACAACAUUCUAAUUAGUCUGAGAGAAGUUUUAGAAUCAAGAAAGUUUUUACCAAUUUUGUGGAAGUUAUUAAAAAUUGAAAGAAAGAAUUGUUUUAUUACAGAUCUGACUAUAUGGAUAAUACAGUGGAAAUUCAUUUAAUCGCACUACAUUACGACUUACUUAUCAUGUUUAACCUAAGAUUCAUCAUCCAGCUUCAGAUGCAUUAUAUAGAUUAUAGUAAUGGGUGAAAAGAAGAUUUCUUCUUUCAGAAGCAUGCAAAUGAUCAAGAAUAUCAUAUAGAUUUGUUUUUAUUAGAAUAAAUUACGUUUGGAGAUUCAUAUUAGUGAUUAAAUUAAUAAGAAUUUAUGAUAUGAAAAUUCAAGCUAAUAAGAGCUUUAUGAUAAUUAAGUUUGAUAUGUAGCUCCUUAAUUAAGGUUAUGCAUGAAUUUAAAUCCUUAACCCUACUCAUCUCUAGAAUCAAAGAAUUUGAAACAUAAUUUAUUUUAUCAAAGCAUUAUUGUUACAAAAACCCUAAUCUAUCUUAACAAUUACAUUUAGAAAUCAUACAUAUACAUACAUGCAUGAAUUCAAAUAAGUUAAAAAGAUUAAAUGAUUCAUUAUACAUUAUUGCAGCACAGCCAACAGUGAAGGAAAAAGAAAAAAACAAAUAGCAAAAAUAAUUAAUUAUCUAAAAAAAAAAAAAAAAAAAAAAAGCGAUAUGACUACCGAUCAUGUCGAGCAGCCAUGGGCGACAUGGGAGAGUAGCUGUACCUGGUAAAAACAGCAGUAGAAGAAGAUCGGCGAAUGCGAAAAGUAGCUGAGGAAAAUCGAAUAGCAGACAUUAAAAUCGAUAAUACAUCUACUAAUAAAUAGUCAAGUUCAUAAAACAUGCUUAUGCUUUUCCUUAGAAUCACAUUUAUCAACAUCGAAACUGCAUCUGCAAAUCCACCCAUGUUCUUCUAUCUCUUUCCUUCUUGUUAUUCCUCUGCUGCUGGUUUUGCUGUUUUUGGGAGGCAAAAAUGUCAAACUCAAUACCCAUCGGUCAUCAUGUUAUUAAUUGAUUGCAGCGACCAGUCUAAUCGCUAAUAAUAAUGCUGGUCAAACUGGUAGUGACUGAAAUACCCUUCUAUUCCAAUUUAACAUUACUUCUAAUUCUACAAGGAAUAAUUUUCUUUUGGC